Non-coding RNA from Manis javanica (Malayan pangolin), 3413 nucleotides. Lineage: Eukaryota; Metazoa; Chordata; Mammalia; Pholidota; Manidae. The record is from RefSeq and is a predicted model, not a curated record.
UUAGUUUUCUUUGUAUUUACCCUUUUUUGUAAUUGAGAAAACAGGGACACAGAGAGGUUAAGUAAUUUUCCUGAAGUCACACAGCUAAGAAAUGGUGGAGGUAGGCUUCAGAUUUAGACAAGUUGGUCCAGGGUUGGAGCUCGCAGAAACCACUGUAUGUUAGAAAUGCGAGAAGGGGUAGAAAAUCAGUCUUUACUGUUUAUAUGGGUGUAAAAACCAGUUAAGUUUGCUUUGUCAGGAGUAUUAGAGACCUACAUACAGCUAAACCUUUUCAGUUCUAGGGUCCUGAGACUUUGAAAAUCUGAAGACUAUCUAGGUACUCUUCCCAGAAAAAUACAUGCAAAUGUAAUUCUGGGGGGUUGUGGGUCUUCUGAAGCCUAUCAAUAGAACCAUUAGGGGCAGGUCAGCUUCAAGUUAAUGGGUCUAAGAUUUCCUACUGGGUCUAAGGAUGGGGGUGAGAGAGGAUGGUGGGUUUGCUGGAGAGGACCAAGCAGGAGGCAGACUGGUUCUGGGUCCACGGCCAGGCUCAGCUGAGCAAGGGUUAUGUGCUCCCCAGGCUGCCUGACUGCUUGCCACCCUGCUUAGCACUUCAGACAUGAAAGCAUUCGCAUCAAACUCUGAAUCAUCCGUUGCUAUUUCUUUACAUAUUUUUGCAAGAAAAGAAGGCUUUAUUUGGAAUGAUUUGCCAACAUACUAUAAAUCAAGAGACAUACAAAGCAGACUUAAAGGAGCUGCAGAAACUUUCAGAGACCCAGGAGCUAUAAAAAGAAACUAUUUCCAAUGUGUCCUAGCAAGGGGUGUAAACUCAACUCCAGAGAAAAGAGCAAAUGAAAUCAACUACUUUUCAAGAGGUUACAAAUCUACCUAACAUAAUGCACAGCUGUUUUCUUCUUAAAAAAAUGGAUCAAGAUCAUUCACCAACAGGAUUAAAAAGUAAAGCUUGGAAAAUCUGGCAAUGAAAAUCAACAGCUGCGUCUCUCCCCACCUUGAGUCCUAAACCCUAAAGAUGAGAAAACAGCGGCCUGGAAAGAAUGUUGCUUGUCUAAGGCCACACAGUUGGUGGCUUUUGGAGGGUGCCUAAAGGAUGGGGACUGGUUGCUGGUGGAGCCAACCAAGUGAUUAGAGGAUUGGAACUUUCGGUCCCACCCUGACCACUGGAUGAUAAUUAAAUCAGCCAUGCCUAUGCCAUGAAUCUUCAUAAAAACCCAAAGGAUGGAGAACUUAGCAGAACUUCUGAGUUGGUGAGAUAAGGGGACAGUGGUGCAGUCCAGGAGGGCAUGGAAGCCCCGCGCCCUUUCCCUAUACCUUGGCCUACACAUCUCUUCCCUAAGGAAAAUGUGAGCUGCUCUUGCAAAUUAAUCCAACCCAAGAAGGUGGUCGCUGGAAGCUCUGCUCCAUAAUAGGUGGCUCCAAAACACAGUGAUAACCUGGGAUUGCAAUUGGCAUCUGAAUUUGGAGAUGGGGUGCAGUCCUGCCAGACUGAGCCCUUGAUCUGUGGAACCUGAUGCUAUCUCCUGGUAGACAGUGUCAGAACUGAGUUAAAUCCAUCUGGUGUUGGAGAAUUGCUUGUAGUGUGUGAAAAACCCUCCUUCCCACAUCGACACUGGGUGCAGAAAUCUUAUCAAGGGAUUAGGAAUUCAACAUUUGAAUUUGGGGGGACACAGUUCAACCCAUAACAAAGAGCCUUUGGCUGUAGAAGCGUCUGAGUGGAAAGGGAAUUGCACUGGUCCUCAUGAGGGGGGUGGGUGUGGGAACCAUUCUUCACUUCCUUCAUGCUCGUCCUGUAGAGUGGCUGGUUUGGUCUGGUUUCUGAAAACGAACACCUGCCUAGAGCUCACUCAGGUGAAACUGGUCUCACCUGGCUCUGCGGCGCCUGAGUCCCCUGGUCGUUCAGUUCUCACAUUUGGUGGCCUCUCAUUGUCCCUCAACUUUCUGUAAUCUUUUGGGUCUGAGUACUUACUCAGUUUCCUAGUGGGGCUGGGACCUUUGGCUUCCACUGCACUCCCAUUGCAAGAUUCGGGGCUCUGCGAGACCACAGUCCACCUUGCAGCCCACCUACCUCUCCACUGCAUGGCCCAUGUGGGCUAUGGACCUUCCCGAAGGUACCUGAGGAAAGAAGGAACAGCCCCACUGCUCUGGGCAUCUCCUCGGCUUUCCCAGCAGGGUCUUGAGCCCAAGUGGGGAGUAAGACAAGCUCCACACAUAUACUAUUUGCCUCUCUUCCUUUUCUCUACCCCACCUUCCUAUACUGGAGGUGCUAACUUUUCCCUAGAUAGGCAGGAAUCUAAGUUAUCUCUCUCUACACUUGUAGUAAAAGUCAACAUACAGAACUCUUAACAAUACUUUUGAUAGUGAAAGGGAACUUUUGGAAUUUAGGGGAAAAUUCCUCUCCUAAAACAGUCUUGCUUUCAAAAUCAGUGGCCUCAACUUUUUGAUCCUUAGCGGUAAAAAAAAAUUGAAUAUGUGCAUAUAUAUUUGAUAUAUAUCUUAGAAUUAUAUACAUUUAAUACUGUACUAAUACAUUAUAUGCUUUAUGAGCAUACAUCCAAAAAGAGACACUUUAAAAGAUAAGGGAAAAUGAAAACAAACAUAUCCAAAUUUUCUUUCUGAAGCCCAGCGUGUUGUUGUCUUGGGCACACCCUACUUUGGAGGCCACUGUUUACUGCUUUGUCUUGCAAGGGACUAAAAAAAUAAAUUGGCAUGCAAAGCUGAGCAAUGACCUGGUUGUUCACUUGGCAUCUCUCUUUCCCUGAAGCAUGGAAACCUGUUGACUAAAUGGGUGGAGAGCCACAGAACAUCAUAGUUUAAGUGGAAAGAAAAACACAGCAGUUUCAUAUACAUUCAAAAGUAUCAUCCCAUGUAAUGGGAACCAAGCCAAGGGCUGGCCCUGAUGGCCGAGGCCUGGGGAAAAAACAAGCUGCCUCUUUGUGGCCCUUAACAAACAACAGGCCCUUUGUCAUCACGUGAAAACUGAUGGAGGGGUUGGUGCUUGUGGCUCCCUACCCUCCCUGGGGCUUCAGGACGGUGAGGGUGCCUGCUGGCAAGAGAAAGGUGUGCGCACCCAAACCUGUAUAUGUGUGUCAUGGAGGUGGGAGCCACCAAGAGGUGGAUGGGGGACAGGGCAAGGAAUGUUAAGUUUUAAGUGCUGGGAAUAAAAAGGACAUGGACUCUGAAUCAGGGCUUAGCUGUGAUAUCCCAGAAGCUGACCAAAUCCCCCUUUUCAAUAGUGUAUCGCUUUGUGUGGAAGUCCCCAAGCAAGAAUGCCAGUCCUGAUAGUAGGGAAAUAUAAAAUCCUUCUAAGUGCAGCAUUUCUCACAUGGGAGGUUCUGAGAACCCAGGAAGUCAGGAAAUGGAUUACCAGCUUCCCCCACUAUAUGGAAGCAGUGUUCCUAUGAAGCCUUUUUAAGCUGAAA